Molecule: ribosomal RNA, 200 nt
Filed under: uncultured bacterium
Lineage: Bacteria
Description: partial 16S ribosomal RNA
Rfam family: Bacterial small subunit ribosomal RNA
Source: RNAcentral
AGAGUUUGAUCCUGGCUCAGAACGAACGCUGGCGGCAUGCCUAACACAUGCAAGUCGAACGCGGGGCUUCGGCCCCGAGUGGCGCACGGGUGAGUAGCGCGUGGGAACCUGCCUUUCAGUGGGGGAUAACCGAGGGAAACUUCGGCUAAUACCGCAUACGCCGGGCAACCGGGAAAGAUUUAUCGCUGAGAGAGGGGCCC